UUUUAUGGAGAGUUUGAUCCUGGCUCAGGAUGAACGCUGGCGGCGUGCCUAAUACAUGCAAGUCGAGCGAACGGACGAGAAGCUUGCUUCUCUGAUGUUAGCGGCGGACGGGUGAGWAACACGUGGAUAACCUACCUAUAAGACUGGGAUAACUUCGGGAAACCGGAGCUAAUACCGGAUAAUAUUUUGAACCGCAUGGUUCAAAAGUGAAAGACGGUCUUGCUGUCACUUAUAGAUGGAUCCGCGCUGCAUUAGCUAGUUGGUAAGGUAACGGCUUACCAAGGCAACGAUGCAUAGCCGACCUGAGAG
Molecule: ribosomal RNA, 309 nt
Filed under: Staphylococcus aureus
Lineage: Bacteria; Bacillati; Bacillota; Bacilli; Caryophanales; Staphylococcaceae
Description: bacterial SSU rRNA
Rfam family: Bacterial small subunit ribosomal RNA
Source: RNAcentral